This 603-nucleotide long non-coding RNA is filed under the name Rhinopithecus bieti (black snub-nosed monkey). RNAcentral describes it as "lncRNA (ENSRBIG00000046393.1)". Lineage: Eukaryota; Metazoa; Chordata; Mammalia; Primates; Cercopithecidae. The record is from RNAcentral.
UCUGAGAUGGGAAGAGCUUCUUGAGAAGACUGAUCAACAUCUGAUUCAGGGAAAUAGAUGUGCUCAAUUUGAAUGGAUUAACAGGACUAAAACUACAGAGAAAAAUGUGAAUGUGAAAAAUGGGGAAAAGUCUCACCACUGCAUGGUAUGCCUGGAAUACCAUACAGGAUAUCGACCCAGGAUAACACAGUACUUCCUCCAAGAAGCACUCUUCUCUUCUUGUGCUUAGCUAUUGGGAACAUUUUUAUUGGCAUGGUUCUCCUGGAAGGCCACAUGGUGACCACUGGCCAGUCGAGAGAGGGCAGUCUUAGACCUUGGCACAUUCAUUUCUCAUCAAACCUACCGUGGCCAGUAAAGCCUGGACACAUGGUCAUAUUUUCUGGGUGGAAACACCUAUGCAUUGUGAACUCUCACCCUUACAAGCUCUUCUGCAAUAUUGUUCUUUACAGAUCAUGCUCAUUCUUUUGGAAUAGUAAUACAGAAGGAUUAGAUCAAAUAUUAAUUGAAAAAUAUUACCACAAUAUCAACAUGAUUAGCUACACCAAACCUCUGUGUACAUAUGGGAAAGUUUAUAUAAAGUCAGCAGAGCAAAUAGACUCCUGA